This 76-nucleotide transfer RNA is filed under the name Alphaproteobacteria bacterium. RNAcentral describes it as "tRNA-Glu". It matches the Rfam family "tRNA". Rfam says of the family: Transfer RNA (tRNA) molecules are approximately 80 nucleotides in length. RNAcentral also lists the same sequence under 7 other names. Lineage: Bacteria; Pseudomonadati; Pseudomonadota; Alphaproteobacteria. The record is from RNAcentral.
GUCCCCUUCGUCUAGAGGCCUAGGACACCGCCCUUUCACGGCGGCAACACGGGUUCGAAUCCCGUAGGGGACGCCA